UUCUUACUAGGGAUCAGUGGUCAAAAAAUUUCAUACAUACUCUCCAAACCACUUGAGUACCUAAGUUAAAUAGCGAAACAGUUGAGAGAGAAACAUGUGUGUGUCUGCAUCCAGUCUUUUUCAUUAGUCUUUUCCUUCCUUAAACGGAAGAUGUAUUUUUAAUUUUUCUUUGUUUAAUUUCAUUUAUUGCAUUUUACCUUAUCA
RNAcentral lists this long non-coding RNA (204 nucleotides) under Lathyrus oleraceus (garden pea). RNAcentral describes it as "Pisum sativum (pea) long non-coding RNA (PSAT_LNC016842)". Lineage: Eukaryota; Viridiplantae; Streptophyta; Magnoliopsida; Fabales; Fabaceae. The record is from RNAcentral.